Drosophila persimilis is the source of this 438-nucleotide long non-coding RNA. RefSeq lists it as uncharacterized. Lineage: Eukaryota; Metazoa; Arthropoda; Insecta; Diptera; Drosophilidae. The record is from RefSeq and is a predicted model, not a curated record. The transcript is spliced from 2 exons.
AAUGUACCAUAUUGUUCUUGUCUUUUUUAUUUUCUUGGUAUAGCGAGCGCAGCUCGAGGCUCUGGAGUACUAGGUCAUAUUAAAGCGCCUCCACGAUCAGCAACUCUUUCUGGACUAUUCCAUUCCAUCAAGCCGAAGCCUGUUAGGAGCCACAAAGGGCUGAAAUAUAAAGGUGUACAAAAUUUUGAUAUGAUAUACAUAUCAAGAAGAGCGAAAUGCAGAAAUGUCCGCCAGUAAAACUGUAGUUGCAACUAUUGGUGACCCUUCGGUCGGCUCGGUUUGACUAUGUCUUGUGGAAACCAUUUAAAUCCAACAGCGGAGUCCUGCAAAAAAGCAAGUAUUCAGAGGAGUUUGGAGUCUGUAUUCAGAAAAGCAAAUGAGAUAUGCUCUAACUUAUAGUCUUGUAGUCUCUGAGAACUAGGCGCUCAUCGGGACAGA